GACGUAGGGCGCAAGCGUUGUCCGGAUUUAUUGGGCGUAAAGAGCUCGUAGGCGGCUUGUCACGUCGGAUGUGAAAGCCCGAGGCUUAACCUCGGGUCUGCAUUCGAUACGGGCUAGCUAGAGUGUGGUAGGGGAGAUCGGAAUUCCUGGUGUAGCGGUGAAAUGCGCAGAUAUCAGGAGGAACACCGGUGGCGAAGGCGGAUCUCUGGGCCAUUACUGACGCUGAGGAGCGAAAGCGUGGGGAGCGAACAGG
RNAcentral lists this ribosomal RNA (253 nucleotides) under uncultured bacterium. RNAcentral's name for it is "partial 16S ribosomal RNA". It matches the Rfam family "Bacterial small subunit ribosomal RNA", at positions 524 to 776 of the family's 1533-position model. The record is from RNAcentral.